This 798-nucleotide ribosomal RNA is filed under the name Ropica subnotata. RNAcentral describes it as "partial 12S ribosomal RNA". The record is from RNAcentral. Lineage: Eukaryota; Metazoa; Arthropoda; Insecta; Coleoptera; Cerambycidae.
AAUAAUGCGACUUAAUUUUGAUUAGAGUUAAUAAAAAGUUUAAGUUAAAAUUAAAAAGGAAAUUUAUUAGGUGAAAUUAUUAAAUUUUUAAAAGUUUUAUAAUUGAUGUUGAGAAGGUUUUUAAAUAGACUAGGAUUAGAUACCCUAUUAUUAAAAAUAUAAAUAAGUUUCUAGAUUAGUAGUAGUUAUGUUCUUGAAAAUUAAAAAAUUUGGCGGUAUUUUAGUCUAUUCAGAGGAACCUGUUCUGUAAUUGAUAGUCCACGAUUUAAUUAACUUUUUUUAUUAGUUUAUAUAUCGUCGUAGUUUGAAUAUUUUAUAAGAAAGAUAAUAUUCAUAAUUUUAAUAAAAAAUUAAAUCAGAUCAAGGUAUAGCGUAUAAAAAAGUAGUAAUGGGUUACAUUAUUUAUAUAUGAGGAAUGAAGUAUUUAAAAUUUUUAUGAAUAUGGAUUUGAUAGUAAUUUUAGCUAGAUAGAUAAUAUGAAGAUAGCUCUAAAAUAUGCACAUAUUGCCCGUCGCUUUCAUUUAAGGUGAAAUAAGUCGUAACAAAGUAGAUUUACUGGAAAGUGAAUCUGGAAAGGACAAAUUAGAGCUUGAUAAAAGCAUUUUAGUUACAUUAAAAAGUUAAUUGUGAAAUUCAAUUUAAUUUGAAUGGAAAUUAUUAUUAAUUUUUUUAUUGAUAAUAAAUUAAAAAAAGUAGUUAAUUAAUUUUAGUAUAAUAGAAGAAAAAAAAUCAAUAAUUAUAGUAAAUUAAGUAUUGUGAGAGAAUUAAUUAUGUAAAUUAAAGUAAAUUUUAAUAUUG